CUGAUGCGGUGUGCAUACCUGGUUGAGCCAAUGUGUACAGGCACGGUUGGAAAAAACUCUGGGUGUUCAGAUUUCAUUAUGCUUGUACCAAUCAAGUAAGCAGGAUGUGAACUUACAAGGGAAAAAAAAGUUUGCCUCACAUGGCUACACAGUUUGUACAUCUAGCUACACACAGGAAGAGGUGUAGAAUCGAUUGUCACGGUAAAAUCGAAUUAUGAAAACCUUCCCCAGCUGCCCCCAAGGUACAGAGCCUUACCCGUUUGUAACAUAUGUUCGACAAGAUGUCAGUACUUGAAAUAGGACUGCUUUUAUUGCACAUGUGCAAUACCAAAAUAGGACUUAAUUCCAAGCUGUUGUAAUACUACUUGUAAUUACUCUGAAUUACUACAGUAUGAAGGGUGAAUAGUGAUGCUUGUACAUCCACAUAAACUGCACACUUGACACCCCAUUUACAUCCCUUUCUGAAACUUUCUUCUUUCAGCAUACCACAUUGUAUAGACAGAAUUCUGUUCUAUUCACUGGGAAUAAGAAUCAUCCUUUCUUUUUUUUUUUUUUUUUUUUUUGCUUUUCUUUAUCUGUGAUGUAACUGGUCUGUAUCUGUGAUGUAACUUUUUGAAUAGUGUGUUAUCUGUUUAUCUUUCUGUUCUUUAACACAAUUAUUUGGUGCCUAUGUUUAUUUUUACAACUUUUUUAAAAAUAUGAGCCCAAACACCUAGGAAAGUAUAAUGCAGGAUAUGCCUCUGGAGAAUAAGGCAACUUCUUUGACAUAGAGAAUGUUCUUGUUCAGGUCAAAAUAGUUGACCUAAAAUUAAGUCCUGAUGUAUUUACAAAGUUGAUUACUAUCAGAUGAUUACUACUGGCAUUGUUAGACAAAUUGUAGAAUAUGAUAUCCAGCUCUGGGAUCAGUAUUUUGAAAACAUGUUCCUUGACAGUAUGUUCAAUAGUAUAGUGCAUCUUGUCAAGGAGAAAAAAAAGCAGAGCUAAAGCAGAAAGUGAAGUAAAAGAAGCAAUCUCUGGAUGGCAGAUGGAAAGUGAGAUGGGAAAUAAAGUUCGAAUUUUAACUGUUAGAAUGAAUAAGCAAAGGAAGUGACAAAUAGUCUUUUUUAAUAUUUUCAAAUUCAGACUGAGAGUUUACUCAAGCACAAGCUUUUAGGCUCAGUAUACUGGUAAUUUUUUGUUAUACAAGAUCAGAGUGGAAGAUAGUGGCCUUUGGCCUUCUGUUAUGCUCCAAAAAAGGCAGGCAGGUUUUGUUUCCUGUGACAGCACACGUGAAUUCAAAGAUGUAGAGAUAGUCAUCUUUCUUCCUCUCUUAAAAUAAUUGUAUCUUUUCUACCUCAGAAGGAAGGCACCAUCUGUCCAGGAAGAAAGUGAGCUAGCAUAAACCCUUUGUUCCUUACGUCACUUCCACUUGUUUGCCCCUGCUGUACUCCAUCAGCUGUCCCAAGCAGAGCAGGAGCUCUCCUUUUAUCUUCAAAAGCUUACCUCCUCAACCUACAACAACAGAUCUAAUGUUAAAGAGGGCAAAGACUUUUUUUUUUUUUUUUUUUUUUUUUUCUGAAUCAGGCUGAUCCCACUUUCGCAUUCUGCCACUGCCAUGUUUCUGUUUCCAGGCCUUCCCUCAUCUCACUUGUUCCUUGACCACACACUUCUAGGCUUACAGCUUUGAUCAGGCAUCCUGAUGAUAUUUUUUCCAUCAGUUCAGCUUCUUGACACUGAUUUGCAUCCAGAGGAUGGUCCAUUAUAAGUUCAACAUCUGUCCAUGCUAAGUAUAAUAAAAAAAAAAAACAGAUUUUUGAAUUUUGGAGUAUCUUGGAAACAGAAGUUAAAUCUGAUUUCAGCUGACAAAGCUGUUUUCUGGCUAUGCGAACUUAUCUCCGGGCAAACUAGCCAUGGAAAUACAAGGAUUUACUUGAUUCUUGGCAGAACAUGAAGCCUCAGUCUACCUCGUUAUACCUUCUGGUGGCUGCAGAUGUUUUUUUGAGCUUGUUCACUUUCUACAAGAGUUUCAAGUUGUGGACAGUCUUUCUCAAUGUCACACAAUCAAUGUCCUGAUUUUUCACCAAUCUUGUGAUAAAUAGAAGAUGGUUAAAUGCAUUCGUUCUAGGCCAGUCAGUAGGAAGAAAUAAGAUUGCAGGCACGCCUACUGAAAUCACUCAACCAAUUGAAGAAACAGAAUGAGAUUUGGAUUAUAGGGUUUCAGAUAAUACCAAGUCCCUUGUGAAAGACAUGUAUCUGUCAAGCUCAUGAUCACUAAAUGUGAUUCUGUCACAUUUAAAAAAAAUAUAUCUGUGACAAAGAUGAGAUGACUGUGAACAAGGCCAAUGACACUGAGCUACAGCAGGACGGAAUAAAGCAGAAGGUUUGAUAAUGAGAGAUUACACUUUCCAGCUAUUCUUGAAGACCAGAGGGAGGGAAUUAUUUGGUUUAUGCUGGCAGCAAUUUCCCUAAGCCAUGUGAGAUGGCAUACCUCAAGCUGUUGCAAAUGUAGGCAGAACAACCACAGGCCAUGGCUCUUGGUUGGAUCUAGAUUCCCUGGGGCAUAGAAUAUAUUGAAAAGGCUCCUAAAUAGGGGCUGAUCACUUAAUUUGACUGUUUGAAUGGAAGUCCCACAUAUUCUUCAAUCACUAACACUUGUUCACAGUUCCCUUGAAGCUUAAUAAUCACUUCUGAUUUUUUUUUUUUAAAAAAAAAAAUUAGAUUAGCUGCUCAUGGUUACAGUUUUACAACUGUAACAUAUCAAAUGUGUUAAGCAGUACUUACGCACUGUCCCCUUUUCUGGGUUCUGUAAAGCUGCAAUGAACAAAGAUUAUUAAGUUCCUGCUGUGUUUAAGUUUCCUACAGGUCAGUUUUAAUAAACUGUUUGUUUGUUCAGAAAUGUACUGUAGCCGCAUUAAUCCCCAACCCUUAAAAACUUAAAACAAGUUUUCCCCCCCAAAAAAAACAUUUGAAAAUAGCAAUAUAUUAGUAUUCAUUUGUAGAUAUUUAAAUAGCCCACAAUUUAUCCCUUUUCUGUAAGGAAAUUUUGAUUAAUUGCAAUGGUUAAAUAUUGUGUUGUACAUUUUUCUGAAGCGACAGUACUUAUAGCCUUUUGUCCUUUAUAAUGUCACUGCAAGAAAAAAACAUUCAAGAUUUUCAGUCUUAGUGAACAAGAAACACCUUCGUCUUUAUCAAAAUACAAAAAAAAAAAAAAAAUCUAUUCUUAUGUAAAUUCUAUGUCAGACAUAUAAAUGACCCUUUUUGUCAUUCCUCUACAGGAGUUGAUUGAUUCAUGCUACUACUCUAAAAUGUACAUACAAAUCACAGUGCUAAGAAAAUUUUCUUUUCAUAAUGUCAAAUAAUGUAAACUUUAUUAUAAAAUACUUCACAAUUACUUAUAUUGUAUUUCAAUUUAAAUCCAGUCAGGUGUUCUAUAAGGACAAUAUGCCUUAGACAGAAGAAAGGCACUUAUAUGGAAAAAUGUACUGACUUUAUCCAACUAAUUAUGUUUAGAUAGGUAAGAAUGUUAAUAUGUGUAUGUGUGUCUGCUUGUGUGUGUAUUGUACAAACCAUUUGUAAAUUGCCAUAAAGAUUAGUCACCUAAUUAGUUGCUACUGUAUAUUAUUUUUAAAAGAUCCAGAUAGAAGAUACAUUGGCAAACAUUCAGACCAUCUUUAUGUUAUUACAUCUAAUUGUAAACAUCAACACAUUUAAUUAUCAUGUAAGCAUGAACA
Oxyura jamaicensis (ruddy duck) is the source of this 3710-nucleotide long non-coding RNA. RefSeq lists it as uncharacterized. The record is from RefSeq and is a predicted model, not a curated record. The transcript is spliced from 6 exons. NCBI's taxonomy places the organism in Eukaryota, Metazoa, Chordata, Aves, Anseriformes, Anatidae.